UGAGGAAUAUUGGUCAAUGGGCGGGAGCCUGAACCAGCCAAGCCGCGUGAGGGAGGAAGGCCCUAUGGGUCGUAAACCUCUUUUGUCAGGGAACAAAAGCGAGUAUGUAUACUAGUCUGAGUGUACUUGAAGAAAAAGCAUCGGCUAACUCCGUGCCAGCAGCCGCGGUAAUACGGAGGAUGCGAGCGUUAUCCGGAUUUAUUGGGUUUAAAGGGUGCGUAGGCGGCGGUGCAAGUCAGCGGUAAAAGCCCGGGGCUCAACCCCGGCGAGCCGUUGAAACUGCAGUGCUAGAGAAGGCGAGAGGUACGCGGAAUGCGCAGUGUAGCGGUGAAAUGCUUAGAUAUUGCGCAGAACUCCGAUUGCGAAGGCAGCGUACUGGCGCCUGACUGACGCUGAGGCACGAAAGCGUGGGGAUCGAACAGGAUUAGAUACCC
This 434-nucleotide ribosomal RNA is filed under the name uncultured bacterium. RNAcentral's name for it is "bacterial SSU rRNA". It matches the Rfam family "Bacterial small subunit ribosomal RNA", at positions 355 to 787 of the family's 1533-position model. The record is from RNAcentral.